Molecule: ribosomal RNA, 656 nt
Filed under: uncultured Lobulomycetales
Lineage: Eukaryota; Fungi; Chytridiomycota; Chytridiomycetes; Lobulomycetales
Description: partial 28S ribosomal RNA
Rfam family: Eukaryotic large subunit ribosomal RNA
Source: RNAcentral
GCGAGAGACCGAUAGCGAACAAGUACCGUGAGGGAAAGAUGAAAAGAACUUUGAAAAGAGAGUUAAAUAGUACGUGAAAUUGUCAAAAGGGAAACGCUUGAAACCAGUGUUGCGGCCUAGAUCCCAACCGGUCUUACGACUGGCCCAUGUUCUAGGUUGUAGGUCAGCAUCGGUUUGGUUUGGAGUAUAAAGCUUGAGGAAGGUAGCCCCUCGGGGUAUUAUAGCCUCUCGUUCUGCUCUGGACUAGACCGAGGUUCGCAGUGCAGUCUUGGGGAACCUAGUGCUAGUUGUAGCGGAUUCUAGGACAACGUGUUGAUCUAGAGUGCGUCAAGGCUAAUCGUUAGGCGUACCACACCUGUGCUUAGGAUGCUGACAAAAUGGUUUUAAACGACCCGUCUUGAAACACGGACCAAGGAGUCUAACACAUAUGCGAGUAUUUGGGUGUCAAACCCGAAAUGCGUAAUGAAAGUGUUAAGGUGGGAUCAUUUGUGCACCAUCGACCGGUCUUGAAGUUUACGGAAAGAUCUGAGUAAGAGCAUAUUUGUUAGGACCCGAAAGAUGGUGAACUAUGCCUGAAUAGGGCGAAGCCAGAGGAAACUCUGGUGGAGGCUCGUAGCGAUUCUGACGUGCAAAUCGAUCGUCAAAUUUGGGUAUAG